AUGGGUUCUUUGCAUGUCUCCUCGAGUGCCACUCAACAUAGCAAGCUUGAGAGGGCUUACCAACUCCUGGUUUUCCAUGUGCACCCGUUCUGGCUCCAGCUCUUGUACUUUGUAUCCAUCUCCUUCUUCGGUUUGGUGAUCCUCAAAGCCCUCCCCAUGAAGACCAGCACGGUCCCGAGGCCCAUGGAUUUGGACCUGAUCUUCACGUCGGUCUCGGCGACCACGGUGUCGAGCAUGGUGGCCGUGGAGAUGGAGUCCUUCUCCAACCCCCAGCUCCUACUCCUGACCCUCCUCAUGCUCCUCGGCGGCGAGGUGUUCACGAGCAUGCUUGGCCUGCACUUCACCUACGUCAAGUCCAAGAAGAAAGAAGCACAAGCACCCCACGACCAUGACGAUGGUGACAAAGGCAAACCAGCACCAUCAUCUAGCCUAGAGCUCGCUGUUACCACCGGCAUGGAUGACGUCGAUCGUGUGGAGCAAGGGUUUAAGGACCAGCCCCGUUACGAUCGCGCCUUCCUCACCAGGUUGCUUCUGUUCAUAGUGCUGGGCUAUCACGUGGUGGUGCACCUCGCCGGCUACUCCUUGAUGCUGGUCUACCUGAGCGUGGUCUCCGGCGCGAGGGCUGUGCUCACCGGCAAGGGGAUCAGCCUGCACACCUUCUCCGUCUUCACCGUCGUCUCGACGUUCGCCAACUGCGGCUUCGUCCCGAACAACGAAGGGAUGAUCGCCUUCCGGUCCUUCCCGGGCCUCCUGCUCCUAGUCAUGCCGCACGUCCUCCUCGGCAACACACUCUUCCCCGUCUUCCUCAGGCUGGCCAUCUGGGCUCUCCGGAGAGUCACCAGGAGGCCCGAGCUCGGUGAGCUGAGGAGCAUCGGCUACGACCACCUGCUGACGAGCCGGCACACGUGGUUCUUGGCUUUCACCGUGGCGGCGUUCGUGCUAGCGCAGCUGUCGCUCUUCUGCGCCAUGGAGUGGGGCUCCAACGGGCUGCGCGGGCUCACCGCCGUGCAGAAGCUCGUUGCGGGACUGUUCAUGUCGGUCAACUCCAGGCACACCGGUGAGAUGGUGGUGGACCUUUCCACCGUGUCGUCGGCCCUCGUGGUGCUCUAUGUGGUCAUGAUGUACCUACCACCUUACACUACAUUUCUACCAGUGGAAGACGACAGUGACCAACAAGUGGGAGCAGAUCAGCGCGACCAGAAAAGGAUAACAAGCAUGUGGCGGAAGCUGCUCAUGUCGCCGCUCUCGUGCUUGGCCAUCUUCAUCGCCGUGGUGUGCAUCACGGAGCGGCGGCAGAUCUCCGAUGACCCCCUCAACUUCAACGUCCUCAACAUCACCGUCGAGGUUAUCAGUGCGUACGGAAACGUGGGGUUCAGCACCGGGUACAGCUGUGGCCGGCAGGUGACGCCCGACGGCGGCUGCAGGGACACGUGGGUUGGCUUCUCUGGGAAGUGGAGUUGGCAAGGGAAGCUGGCUCUCAUUGCUGUCAUGUUCUACGGCAGGCUCAAGAAGUUCAGCAUGCAUGGUGGCGAGGCAUGGAGGAUAGUAUAA
Molecule: ribosomal RNA, 1551 nt
Filed under: Triticum aestivum (bread wheat)
Lineage: Eukaryota; Viridiplantae; Streptophyta; Magnoliopsida; Poales; Poaceae
Description: partial small subunit ribosomal RNA
Source: RNAcentral